GUGCUCACUUCGGCAGCACAUAUACUAAAAUUGCAAUGAUACAGAGAAGAUUAGUAUGGUUCCUGUGCAAGGAUGACACGCAAAUUCAUGAAACAUUCCAUAUUUUU
Sorex araneus (European shrew) is the source of this 107-nucleotide small nuclear RNA. The record is from Ensembl. Lineage: Eukaryota; Metazoa; Chordata; Mammalia; Eulipotyphla; Soricidae.